This is a long non-coding RNA of Budorcas taxicolor (takin), 228 nucleotides long. RefSeq lists it as uncharacterized. NCBI's taxonomy places the organism in Eukaryota, Metazoa, Chordata, Mammalia, Artiodactyla, Bovidae. The transcript has 3 exons. The record is from RefSeq and is a predicted model, not a curated record.
GUGAUGACUUUCAGCCCCCAGCCCCAUAUACUGGGGAUGAUCUUUUUGAAGAGCCAAGGGCAAAAAGGAUAAUGGACACCUGGGACUCAGAGAUGUUACUGGACAAUCCCUGAUGAAGCCUUUGAAGCCUUUGACGUGCAGACUUUUAACAGAGAGCUAAAGAGAAAAAUGAAGGAACAUCAAAAACACCUUAUAUCCCUCCUUUAUAAAUGGGUUCAUCUGCAGAAC